AGGGAUAUAGUUCAAAUGGUAGAACAGUAGAUUUAUGCGUGGGUUCGAAUCCCACUCUCGUUA
RNAcentral lists this transfer RNA (63 nucleotides) under Chryseobacterium arachidis. Its description in RNAcentral is "tRNA_Tyr_GTA". It matches the Rfam family "tRNA". From Rfam's summary of the family: Transfer RNA (tRNA) molecules are approximately 80 nucleotides in length. Their secondary structure includes four short double-helical elements and three loops (D, anti-codon, and T loops). Lineage: Bacteria; Pseudomonadati; Bacteroidota; Flavobacteriia; Flavobacteriales; Weeksellaceae. RNAcentral also lists the same sequence under 1 other name. The record is from RNAcentral.